This is a non-coding RNA of Tursiops truncatus (common bottlenose dolphin), 81 nucleotides long. Lineage: Eukaryota; Metazoa; Chordata; Mammalia; Artiodactyla; Delphinidae. The record is from Rfam.
AAGGACCCCGGAGCCAGAGCCUCGGGUUCGCUCUCCGCUGGGCUGCUUGGAGAACCUAGAUUCGAAAAGAGCUUCCGGAGG